UCAUAACCAACUUUUAACCACUUAGAUACUACAUAUUUAAUUCAGUCUGCCAACAUAAAUAAGCAAUAUCUGAAUUCACAUGCCAUUACAAAAUGAUAAGUUUUGAAAUUACUACUGCGGCGAAUCUAGAACUUUUAGAAAAACCAAACAUACCAAUAGAAUCAAUUACAUUAAAACACGGAGAUAAAGGAAGUUGGGCUGCUAGAGGAAAAGAACUGCGGAAAAAUAACAAACACCUGAAAAAAGACAGUUAAAUUUGAGACUGUCAGUCGCGAGAGUGAGUUAAAAUCAUAAAUCCAAAAAAGAGUACAACCACCUCAAUAAAACAUUUGUUUCAUCAAAAUAAAAUAUCAGGUCAUGUAAAAACACGUGUCAUGCCAUGAUUCAACAAAAUAUAUUUUACAUGCUACGGGACAAGUAUCUCAGCAGAACCCUAACCCCAAUACUAAUAGACUUUUUGGCUCUCCCAUUUCAACAGAAUUAGCGCCCAGAGAGCGCAGCUCGACCAGAGUCGUUAAAUCUAGUCUGGUUACUUAAUCUCUAAUAAAGCUGGCGCCCAGAGAGAAACGCUCGACCAUAUACCUUUAAUCCGGCAAUCAAACUCUUCUAGCCUAGAGAGUUGAACUCGACCAGGGUAAGUCUUAAAUUAUUCUUUUACUACCUGUCUCAGAUUUAUACCGAUGCGCAUGCGGUCCUGAUGCAACUCAUCAGGUGGCAUGUUCUACUGCGUCUCAUCCCGAGUCAACAUGCAUUCACAAUAUUAAUGAUGUAGAAAAUGAUAUAGGAAUAGUAAAUAAAUAAAUAUAAAUCUUCAAAUCAAUAAAUCAGAAUUGCUAUAUAAAACUUUAGCAUGACACAAGUAUAACAGAUAUAUGACUUUAAUUCAUAGUUCUGAUGAUUCACUUGCUCUGCUCUUAUGCCUCGGGUGAGGGGAUUUGAAAUGAUAGAUUAUCUAUUCAUGGGAACAAUUCAAUUAAUAAAAGUAAAAAAUUUAAUAAAAAACCCUAGGCCUAGACUCCUAAAAUUGACUGUCUAAGAAUUUCGACUCAAAAAAAAAAAAUUCUACCGAAAAUUCGGCAAAACUUUCCUUAAAAUACGAACAUUUACCUCCCAUAUAACGGGUCUAGGACCUACCAGGAACAUUUCUAAUAUUCAUCAAUUAAUUAAGGGAAGUCAGGCUACCAAAACUACACCAUUUUUUCCAAUUAUGCAACACACCACAGAUUACAAUUAUUGGCAGACAGUCCGACAUAAUAUUUAUUUCGACAAUCAACCUACACAUGAUUUUCUAGUAUCAAACUGAUUCAACUCCAUCAUAUCCACCACAAAACUACACAAUAAUUAAUCAAUAUAGAUUUUUAAUUAACAAUCUCUAAAAUCAAGAAGCUAAAGAACUAUCGAGACGCUUGAUAAAUCGGUCACUAUGAUGAUCUAGCAGCCGAUUCUCCAAUCCAGUACCCGAUCAUCCGGAGAAAAUCAUGGACAGUAUCAACCGUCGAUUUUCAAACGGAGUCCGAUUGACGUAAAAUUAAUGCCAUUGGAAAGCUUGAGCUGAGGGGAGUUCAUCAUGAACUCCGAUCAACCAUACCUUGCCAGUACUCACCAAAAAUCAAGAAAAACCCAAACUGCCACUACACUAUUCACCUCGUCGGAUUUUGCAAUUCCGGCAGCCUCAAGGGGUGACGAUGGGCGGAAAAGGAAGCCUAGAAGUUGCUGAUAAUUUUGAGCCCAGAACCAUCGGCAAUGAUUGUCGGAAAUGCCAUGAACGAUGGUAAGAAAGCUGCGGCUGCCUUUCUCUUUUCCGCGCCUGCCAUCGCCAUUCACUGCCGCCGCCGUCGCCACAAGCGUGCUCGCCGUUGAUAGUUGCAUCUCUCGCCAUCGCCACCACCCUCAACCGAGAUUCCUCCACCAAUCUGCCAUUGAUGCCGAAGCAAGCUUCCUCUUCCCUCUUCUUCUUCGUUCUCUUUCUUUCCUUUUCUUUUCUUUUUUUUUUUUCCUUUUUUUUUUAUCGCAAAUUGGUCC
RNAcentral lists this long non-coding RNA (2022 nucleotides) under Ricinus communis (castor bean). RNAcentral describes it as "long non-coding RNA (RCOM_LNC000611)". The record is from RNAcentral. Lineage: Eukaryota; Viridiplantae; Streptophyta; Magnoliopsida; Malpighiales; Euphorbiaceae.